This 405-nucleotide ribosomal RNA is filed under the name uncultured bacterium. RNAcentral's name for it is "partial 16S ribosomal RNA". It matches the Rfam family "Bacterial small subunit ribosomal RNA", at positions 28 to 526 of the family's 1533-position model. The record is from RNAcentral.
GACGAACGCUGGCGGCGUGCUUAACACAUGCAAGUCGAGCGGAGCGGCGCACGGGUGAGUAACGCGUGAGUAACUGCCCCCCUCUCUGGGACAACAGUUGGAAACGGCUGCUAAUACCGGAUAGUGGGGGAUGACUCGGGUCCUAUCAGCUUUUUGUUGGGGUAGUGGCCUACCACGGCGAGGCCGGGUAGCCGGCCUGAGAGGGCGCCCGGCCACAUUGGGCUGGGAUACGGCCCAAACUCGUACGGGAGGCAGCAGUGGGGAAUAUUGCACAAUGGGGGAAACCCUAAUGCAGCAACGCCGCGGGCGGGAUGACGGCCUUCGGGUUGUAAACCGCUUGCAGCCAUGACGCGGUAGUGGCAGAAGAAGCACAGGCUAACUACGUGCCAGCAGCCGCGGUAAUAC